CUCUAGGCAAUUGAGAGAGAAAGGGUCAGUUCCAUUGCCUCCUUUCAUCAUGUUAUAGACAAGGGUUAUUGAGAGCCUAGGGUUGUACCUUGGAGCCCCUAUUAUUGCCUAGACCUACAUGUAGUGGAGUCAUCAUAGGUUUUAGGCUGUACUACUCAUGCCUAUUCUAGGCCAUAUUCUCUGUUUUCCUUUAACUUUUAUAUAUGAAUGCUUCCGGUCAAGGUUCCCCAUCUUGGCAUGAGGUCCUAUAUCGGUACCAUCCUAUUGCAGUGUUGGUAUGCAGUUCGGUAUGGUACGAGAUGGUAAAUGAAAUGUCAAUACGGUAGAGAUAUGGUACCAAUAUGAGACCAGUAUGGUAUUGUACGGUAUGGAGUGUACCGAACGGUUUGGCUCAAUACAUCAUUCCAUGCUUCCAAUAGUCUAAAACCUUUAAUUUAUAAUUUCUAUGAUUUUGUAGCUUGCCAUAAGUUUCUAUUCUGUCUAGAAAAUAUUGCCUAGAUUAAAACCUUUUUUGUGAAAUUAGUAGCCUAAUUAUUUCAUGGUUUUGUGAACUGUUGGAAUUUCUUAUUAUAGUAUCUUAAUUACGCACACACACACACACAUAUAUAUAUGUAUAUGCAUGCAUGCAUGCAUGCAUAUACAUACACAUACAUACAACACAUGCAUGCACACAUAUACAUACACACACAUAGAUGCAUACAUACAUACAUGUAUAUACAUACAUAGAUACAUAUACAUACAUACGUACGUACAUACAUACACAUACACACACACACACAACACAUGCAUGCACACACAUAGAUGCAUACAUACAUACAUGUAUAUACAUACAUAGAUACAUACACACACACACACACAUAUAUGUAUGCACACACACACAUAUAUAUGUACAUAUAUAUACACAUGUAUACAUGUAGAUGUUAUAAAUUUAUAUACAUGUAUAUAUAUAUAUAUAUAUAUGCAAGAUUCGUUGGACUGGUAUCUGGUGCUGUACCAUCUUAUAACUGGUUAUAGAUAGUAUAUGUCCAUAUUAUACUGUCCUAGAGUGUAUUGAAACAUGAGAGA
Molecule: long non-coding RNA, 1065 nt
Filed under: Elaeis guineensis (African oil palm)
Lineage: Eukaryota; Viridiplantae; Streptophyta; Magnoliopsida; Arecales; Arecaceae
Description: long non-coding RNA (EGUI_LNC054432)
Source: RNAcentral